CUUGGUUAUAAUUGUGGCGUGGAAACACCUGUUACCAUCUCGAACACAGAAGUUAAGCACGCUCACGCUGAUGGUACUAUACUGGAGACGGUAUGGUAGAGUAAGUCGUAGCCGAUU
This 117-nucleotide ribosomal RNA is filed under the name Candidatus Cloacimonadota bacterium. Lineage: Bacteria; Pseudomonadati; Candidatus Cloacimonadota. The record is from RNAcentral.